This 2902-nucleotide ribosomal RNA is filed under the name Escherichia coli TW07793. RNAcentral describes it as "bacterial LSU rRNA". It matches the Rfam family "Bacterial large subunit ribosomal RNA". The record is from RNAcentral. Lineage: Bacteria; Pseudomonadati; Pseudomonadota; Gammaproteobacteria; Enterobacterales; Enterobacteriaceae.
GGUUAAGCGACUAAGCGUACACGGUGGAUGCCCUGGCAGUCAGAGGCGAUGAAGGACGUGCUAAUCUGCGAUAAGCGUCGGUGAGGUGAUAUGAACCGUUAUAACCGGCGAUUUCCGAAUGGGGAAACCCAGUGUGUUUCGACACACUAUCAUUAACUGAAUCCAUAGGUUAAUGAGGCGAACCGGGGGAACUGAAACAUCUAAGUACCCCGAGGAAAAGAAAUCAACCGAGAUUCCCCCAGUAGCGGCGAGCGAACGGGGAGGAGCCCAGAGCCUGAAUCAGUGUGUGUGUUAGUGGAAGCGUCUGGAAAGGCGUGCGAUACAGGGUGACAGCCCCGUACACAAAAAUGCACAUGCUGUGAGCUCGAUGAGUAGGGCGGGACACGUGGUAUCCUGUCUGAAUAUGGGGGGACCAUCCUCCAAGGCUAAAUACUCCUGACUGACCGAUAGUGAACCAGUACCGUGAGGGAAAGGCGAAAAGAACCCCGGCGAGGGGAGUGAAAAAGAACCUGAAACCGUGUACGUACAAGCAGUGGGAGCCUCUUAAUGGGGUGACUGCGUACCUUUUGUAUAAUGGGUCAGCGACUUAUAUUCUGUAGCAAGGUUAACCGAAUAGGGGAGCCGAAGGGAAACCGAGUCUUAACUGGGCGUUAAGUUGCAGGGUAUAGACCCGAAACCCGGUGAUCUAGCCAUGGGCAGGUUGAAGGUUGGGUAACACUAACUGGAGGACCGAACCGACUAAUGUUGAAAAAUUAGCGGAUGACUUGUGGCUGGGGGUGAAAGGCCAAUCAAACCGGGAGAUAGCUGGUUCUCCCCGAAAGCUAUUUAGGUAGCGCCUCGUGAAUUCAUCUCCGGGGGUAGAGCACUGUUUCGGCAAGGGGGUCAUCCCGACUUACCAACCCGAUGCAAACUGCGAAUACCGGAGAAUGUUAUCACGGGAGACACACGGCGGGUGCUAACGUCCGUCGUGAAGAGGGAAACAACCCAGACCGCCAGCUAAGGUCCCAAAGUCAUGGUUAAGUGGGAAACGAUGUGGGAAGGCCCAGACAGCCAGGAUGUUGGCUUAGAAGCAGCCAUCAUUUAAAGAAAGCGUAAUAGCUCACUGGUCGAGUCGGCCUGCGCGGAAGAUGUAACGGGGCUAAACCAUGCACCGAAGCUGCGGCAGCGACACUAUGUGUUGUUGGGUAGGGGAGCGUUCUGUAAGCCUGUGAAGGUGUGCUGUGAGGCAUGCUGGAGGUAUCAGAAGUGCGAAUGCUGACAUAAGUAACGAUAAAGCGGGUGAAAAGCCCGCUCGCCGGAAGACCAAGGGUUCCUGUCCAACGUUAAUCGGGGCAGGGUGAGUCGACCCCUAAGGCGAGGCCGAAAGGCGUAGUCGAUGGGAAACAGGUUAAUAUUCCUGUACUUGGUGUUACUGCGAAGGGGGGACGGAGAAGGCUAUGUUGGCCGGGCGACGGUUGUCCCGGUUUAAGCGUGUAGGCUGGUUUUCCAGGCAAAUCCGGAAAACCAAGGCUGAGGCGUGAUGACGAGGCACUACGGUGCUGAAGCGACAAAUGCCCUGCUUCCAGGAAAAGCCUCUAAGCAUCAGGUAACAUCAAAUCGUACCCCAAACCGACACAGGUGGUCAGGUAGAGAAUACCAAGGCGCUUGAGAGAACUCGGGUGAAGGAACUAGGCAAAAUGGUGCCGUAACUUCGGGAGAAGGCACGCUGAUAUGUAGGUGAAGCGACUUGCUCGUGGAGCUGAAAUCAGUCGAAGAUACCAGCUGGCUGCAACUGUUUAUUAAAAACACAGCACUGUGCAAACACGAAAGUGGACGUAUACGGUGUGACGCCUGCCCGGUGCCGGAAGGUUAAUUGAUGGGGUCAGCGCAAGCGAAGCUCUUGAUCGAAGCCCCGGUAAACGGCGGCCGUAACUAUAACGGUCCUAAGGUAGCGAAAUUCCUUGUCGGGUAAGUUCCGACCUGCACGAAUGGCGUAAUGAUGGCCAGGCUGUCUCCACCCGAGACUCAGUGAAAUUGAACUCGCUGUGAAGAUGCAGUGUACCCGCGGCAAGACGGAAAGACCCCGUGAACCUUUACUAUAGCUUGACACUGAACAUUGAGCCUUGAUGUGUAGGAUAGGUGGGAGGCUUUGAAGUGUGGACGCCAGUCUGCAUGGAGCCGGCCUUGAAAUACCACCCUUUAAUGUUUGAUGUUCUAACGUUGGCCCCUGAUCGGGGUUGCGGACAGUGUCUGGUGGGUAGUUUGACUGGGGCGGUCUCCUCCUAAAGAGUAACGGAGGAGCACGAAGGUUGGCUAAUCCUGGUCGGACAUCAGGAGGUUAGUGCAAUGGCAUAAGCCAGCUUGACUGCGAGCGUGACGGCGCGAGCAGGUGCGAAAGCAGGUCAUAGUGAUCCGGUGGUUCUGAAUGGAAGGGCCAUCGCUCAACGGAUAAAAGGUACUCCGGGGAUAACAGGCUGAUACCGCCCAAGAGUUCAUAUCGACGGCGGUGUUUGGCACCUCGAUGUCGGCUCAUCACAUCCUGGGGCUGAAGUAGGUCCCAAGGGUAUGGCUGUUCGCCAUUUAAAGUGGUACGCGAGCUGGGUUUAGAACGUCGUGAGACAGUUCGGUCCCUAUCUGCCGUGGGCGCUGGAGAACUGAGGGGGGCUGCUCCUAGUACGAGAGGACCGGAGUGGACGCAUCACUGGUGUUCGGGUUGUCAUGCCAAUGGCACUGCCCGGUAGCUAAAUGCGGAAGAGAUAAGUGCUGAAAGCAUCUAAGCACGAAACUUGCCCCGAGAUGAGUUCUCCCUGACUCCUUGAGAGUCCUGAAGGAACGUUGAAGACGACGACGUUGAUAGGCCGGGUGUGUAAGCGCAGCGAUGCGUUGAGCUAACCGGUACUAAUGAACCGUGAGGCUUAACCUU